RNAcentral lists this ribosomal RNA (433 nucleotides) under uncultured bacterium. RNAcentral describes it as "partial 16S ribosomal RNA". It matches the Rfam family "Bacterial small subunit ribosomal RNA", at positions 29 to 507 of the family's 1533-position model. The record is from RNAcentral.
AACGAACGCUGGCGGCAUGCCUAACACAUGCAAGUCGAACGAGACCUUCGGGUCUAGUGGCGCACGGGUGCGUCACGCGUGGGAACCUGCCCUUAGGUUCGGCCUAACUCCCCGACAGGGGUGCUAAUACCGGAUAAUGUCUUCGGACCAAGGAUUUAUCGCCUUUGGAUGGACCCGCGUUGGAUUAGCUCGUUGUUAGGGUAAGAGCCUACCAAGGCGUCGAUCCAUAGCUGGUUUGAGAGGAUGGUCAGCCACACUGGGACUAAGACACGGCCGAGACUCCUACGGGAGGCAGCAGUGGGGAAUAUUGGACAAUGGGGGAAAGCCUGAUCCAGCUAGGCCGGGUGAGUGAUGAAGGCCGUAGGGUUGUAAAGCUCUUGUACCCGGGAUGAUAAUGACAGUACCGGGAGAAUAAGCCCCGGCUAACUCCGUG